GGGGAAGUGUCGGAACUGGUAGACGAGCAUGACUUAGGAUCAUGCGCCGUACCGGCGUGCGGGUUCGAGUCCCGCCUUCCCCACCG
RNAcentral lists this transfer RNA (86 nucleotides) under Chloroflexota bacterium. RNAcentral describes it as "Chloroflexi bacterium (sediment metagenome) tRNA-Leu". It matches the Rfam family "tRNA". From Rfam's summary of the family: Transfer RNA (tRNA) molecules are approximately 80 nucleotides in length. Their secondary structure includes four short double-helical elements and three loops (D, anti-codon, and T loops). The record is from RNAcentral. Lineage: Bacteria; Bacillati; Chloroflexota.